UAAUGCAUGUAUACAGUAAUUGCUCAAUAA
RNAcentral lists this non-coding RNA (30 nucleotides) under Mus musculus (house mouse). Lineage: Eukaryota; Metazoa; Chordata; Mammalia; Rodentia; Muridae. The record is from RNAcentral.